This 506-nucleotide long non-coding RNA is filed under the name Bos taurus (domestic cattle). RNAcentral describes it as "long non-coding RNA NONBTAT011310". The record is from RNAcentral. Lineage: Eukaryota; Metazoa; Chordata; Mammalia; Artiodactyla; Bovidae.
AGGGCUGAUCUGCUUCCGGCUGUGGCUCAGUUCUCCCGCCUCAGCCUCCGCCGUGGCUCAUGGUCUUCCCUCCAUAGCACUGUCGUGGGAGCUGCCCUAGGAGCUGGCUGAGGAGGAAGAAACUUGAAGACAAUGCUCAGGACAAAACUAUCUUUUCCCCGUAGGAUGGAGACUGUGGAAUUCUAGUGAUGCUGUGAUGAAAACCAACGCAGCUGAGAAGAACAGAGCCCCUGGGAACAUUUCUGUGCCCUCACCAAACUCUCCCACCUCCAAAGGCCUCUGACACUCUGCCAACUGCCCGCACAGCCCAAUGCCAGACAUGAGUGCAAUCUGCAUCCUCGUUUCAAUGUUUCCAGUGCAUCAGCAACAUUUCCACAACUGGAUUAUAAACCUUAGCGGUUGUAUGUUACCUCUUUUGUAAAUAUCACAGCUGUCUCCGUGUGUGACCAAAACUGGGCACCCAGCAAAAGUUCUGUGGAGGACAUGGACCCUAGCAACCCUCCUGC